This 253-nucleotide ribosomal RNA is filed under the name uncultured bacterium. Its description in RNAcentral is "partial 16S ribosomal RNA". It matches the Rfam family "Bacterial small subunit ribosomal RNA", at positions 524 to 776 of the family's 1533-position model. The record is from RNAcentral.
UACGGAGGGUCCGAGCGUUAUCCGGAUUUAUUGGGUUUAAAGGGUGCGUAGGCGGCCUGUUAAGUCAGGGGUGAAAGACGGUAGCUCAACUAUCGCAGUGCCCUUGAUACUGAUGGGCUUGAAUGUACUAGAGGUAGGCGGAAUGUGACAAGUAGCGGUGAAAUGCAUAGAUAUGUCACAGAACACCAAUUGCGAAGGCAGCUUACUAUGGUAGUAUUGACGCUGAGGCACGAAAGCGUGGGGAGCAAACAGG